CCUACGGGAGGCAGCAGUGGGGAAUAUUGCGCAAUGGGCGAAAGCCUGACGCAGCGACGCCGCGUGAGGGAUGACGGCCUUCGGGUUGUAAACCUCUUUCAGCUCUGACGAAGCGAGAGUGACGGUAGGAGCAGAAGAAGCACCGGCCAACUACGUGCCAGCAGCCGCGGUAAUACGUAGGGUGCAAGCGUUGUCCGGAAUUAUUGGGCGUAAAGAGCUCGUAGGCGGUCUGUCGCGUCGAAUGUGAAAACCCGGGGCUCAACCCCGGGCCUGCAUUCGAUACGGGCAGACUAGAGUUCGGUAGGGGAGUCUGGAAUUCCUGGUGUAGCGGUGAAAUGCGCAGAUAUCAGGAGGAACACCGGUGGCGAAGGCGGGACUCUGGGCCGAUACUGACGCUGAGGAGCGAAAGCGUGGGGAGCGAACAGGAUUAGAUACCCUGGUAGUCCACGCCGUAAACGUUGGGCGCUAGGUGUGGGGGUCCUUCCUACGACCUCCGUCGCCGCAGCUACGCAUAAGCGCCCGCCGUCGGGUAGGUACGGCCGCGACGGACGUAAACCGUACGAAACGAAGUAAGUACGGUACGUUGAGAGACGUUCGACGACGACGACCGACGGGAGGGAGGAGG
RNAcentral lists this ribosomal RNA (625 nucleotides) under uncultured bacterium. RNAcentral describes it as "bacterial SSU rRNA". The stretch from base 1 to 524 matches the Rfam family "Bacterial small subunit ribosomal RNA", at positions 338 to 873 of the family's 1533-position model. The record is from RNAcentral.